RNAcentral lists this ribosomal RNA (490 nucleotides) under uncultured bacterium. RNAcentral's name for it is "partial 16S ribosomal RNA". It matches the Rfam family "Bacterial small subunit ribosomal RNA", at positions 30 to 507 of the family's 1533-position model. The record is from RNAcentral.
AUUGAACGCUGGCGGCAGGCCUAACACAUGCAAGUCGAACGGUAACAGGAAGACGCUUGCUUCUUUGCUGACGAGUGGCGGACGGGUGAGUAAUGUCUGGGAAACUGCCUGAUGGAGGGGGAGAACUACUGGAAACGGUAGCUAAUACCGCAUAACGUCGCAAGACCAAAGAGGGGGACCUUCGGGACUCUUGCCAUAGGAUGUGCCCAGAUGGGAUUAGCUAGUAGGUGGGGUAACGGCUCACCUAGGCGACGAUCCCUAGCUGGUCUGAGAGGAUGACCAGCCACACUGGAACUGAGGCACGGUCCAGACUCCUACGGGAGGCAGCAGUGGGGAAUAUUGCACAAUGGGCGCAAGCCUGAUGCAGCCCUGCCGCGUGUAUGAAGAAGGCCUUCGGGUUGUAAAGUACUUUCAGCGGGGAGGAAGGGAGUAAAGUUAAUACCUUUGCUCAUUGACGUUACCCGCAGAAGAAGCUCCGGCUAACUCCGUG